This 212-nucleotide unclassified non-coding RNA is filed under the name Schizosaccharomyces octosporus. The record is from RNAcentral. Lineage: Eukaryota; Fungi; Ascomycota; Schizosaccharomycetes; Schizosaccharomycetales; Schizosaccharomycetaceae.
UAAAUUUGAUAAUUUAACUGAAUUUGAUCUUUACUCUAAAUGAGUUAUCAAAUGGAAAGUUUGGAAUUCUAAAUAGAAUUAGAUAUUUUUAUUCUUAAGUAUUUAUUAAAGAGAUUUUUUUAUGUGUUAUAGUUUAAUAUUUAAGUAUAGGUUUAUUUUUAAGUAAUUUCAGUUAAUUUUACAUAAUCCAUCUUAUAAAUUAUCAAACCCCC